AGCUGUGUCCUGGCUCCCUCUGUCUGUCUGCAAAGACGGACAGCUCUGACUCGCUCUCUCUUUCUCUGGGCGCCUGCGCGCCCACCAUGUCAAGCCAUUUGAGGCGAGCCGAGAGCCCCAGAGCCAUGUCUCUGGUGCACAGUGUUAACAGGGCAGUUAUACCUUUUACAGACAACUGUGGCUCCAAGUCAAGUAUGAACUUACACAAACAGUUUAUAUAACAACUGGAGGUGUGCGCCUGCAUGCCAAACUUGCUGACUCAUGCAGGCCUGGAUACCCGCCUCAGCCUAUUCCUUGACCGAAGCACUUCCAGGGCAGGCAACUGAAGCUCUUGGGAAGGCAGAAGUUGCACGUGGUCUCAUAGUCAACUGUGCCAGAAUAGGAGGCCAGGAACCACCUCUGUUGAAGGAAGACCCACCACGCAUCCCUUCACGAAUGCCAAGGUCCAGAGCAAGCGCUUCCCUUCUAUGGGCACAGGAGGGCUCUGGGAGCCCACAAAAUGUGCUUCUGGCCAGAGUGGGAUCCCCAAGGAAGAUGUUAAGACCUCUAUAAUAUUUAAGAGCAAAAUUAACACAGCUCCAGCCCAUGGGCAAGUUAGAGACAGGAGUGGUGUCUGUAGAGUGGAGGAAAGCAGAGGCUGCCGCUGACAGUCCUGCAACCCUUGCUCUGGCUGCUCACAGCUCUCCACCUUCUCUGGACUUUGUCACUUCAGUAUGUGAAACAACCGUUUCAACCAGCUUGGACAAAAGAGAGAAGCCAAGAUGGGGCUGAGAAACCAAUGCAGGCAGGCCCAGGGACCCAGGAGUCAGGGACCAGGCGCUACCGUAUGCUUGCUCCGACUCGUGUUGCUGCUGUCUUCUCUGUGCCUCAACUCUGUCCUCUGUCACUGCAGGCAGCUUCCUCCCAAGGUGCACAUUGGUUUGUUUAGUAAACACUGAGACCAACUCCACCAUCCAGAGGCCUGACAGACAAACGGCCUGAGACAGGGCUGGGAAAGUUUUGCUUCUGGAUGGGAAUUCAGGAAGAGUUUUUUUUUGUUGUUUUUUUCCCCCAAGGGAACAAGCCCUUGAAUCCGGGAGGCCGAGGUUGCGGUGAACCGAGAUUGCGCCAUUGCACUCCAGCCUGGGCAACAAGAGCGAAACUCUGUCUCAAAAAAAU
RNAcentral lists this long non-coding RNA (1158 nucleotides) under Pongo abelii (Sumatran orangutan). RNAcentral's name for it is "lincRNA". Lineage: Eukaryota; Metazoa; Chordata; Mammalia; Primates; Hominidae. The record is from RNAcentral.